AGCGCAACAUCCCUUGGGCCGGUGGCAAACGUUCGGUGCCACGCGAGUUGCCCCUGUCCGGUUGUGCGAGAUAC
This 74-nucleotide small nucleolar RNA is filed under the name Trypanosoma theileri. RNAcentral's name for it is "Trypanosomatid snoRNA TB11Cs4H3". It matches the Rfam family "Trypanosomatid snoRNA TB11Cs4H3". The record is from Rfam by way of RNAcentral. Lineage: Eukaryota; Euglenozoa; Kinetoplastea; Trypanosomatida; Trypanosomatidae.